This 257-nucleotide ribosomal RNA is filed under the name uncultured bacterium. RNAcentral's name for it is "partial 16S ribosomal RNA". It matches the Rfam family "Bacterial small subunit ribosomal RNA", at positions 524 to 776 of the family's 1533-position model. The record is from RNAcentral.
UACGUAGGGGCCUAGCGUUGUCCGGAUUUAUUGGGCGUAAAGAGCUCGUAGGCGGUUUGGUGAGUCGGGUGUGAAAUCUCCACGCUCAACGUGGAGGGGCCACCCGAUACUGCCAUGACUAGAGUCCGGUAGGGGAGUGUGGAAUUCCCGGUGUAGCGGUGAAAUGCGCAGAUAUCGGGAGGAACACCAGUAGCGAAGGCGACAGCUCUGGGCCGGUACUGGACGGUGAGGAGCGAAAGCGUGGGGGAGCAAACAGG